GACGAACGCUGGCGGCGUGCCUAACACAUGCAAGUUGAGCGACGAACCAGGGCUUGCCCUGGGGCAAAGCAGCGAACGGGUGAGUAACACGUGGGUAACCUACCCCGAUAACCGGGACAACCCGAGGAAACUCGGGCUAAUACCGGAUGUGCUCACUGGACUUCGGUUCAGUGCGUAAAGGAAGCUUCGGCCUCCGUAUCGGGAGGGGCCCGCGGCCCAUUAGUUUGUUGGUGAGGUAACGGCUCACCAAGACCGCGAUGGGUAGCUGGUCUGAGAGGACGAGCAGCCACACUGGGACUGAGACACGGCCCAGACUCCUACGGGAGGCAGCAGUGGGGAAUCUUGCGCAAUGCGCGAAAGCGUGACGCAACAACGCCGCGUGGGGGAAGAAGGCCUUCGGGUUGUAAACCCCUUUCAGGAGGGACGAAGGUUCGGCGGUGAAUAGCCGUCCGGACUGACGGUACCUCCACAAGAAGCCCCGGCUAACUACGUG
RNAcentral lists this ribosomal RNA (493 nucleotides) under uncultured bacterium. RNAcentral's name for it is "partial 16S ribosomal RNA". It matches the Rfam family "Bacterial small subunit ribosomal RNA", at positions 28 to 507 of the family's 1533-position model. The record is from RNAcentral.